This 389-nucleotide long non-coding RNA is filed under the name Apteryx owenii (little spotted kiwi). RNAcentral's name for it is "lncRNA (ENSAOWG00000015165.1)". The record is from RNAcentral. Lineage: Eukaryota; Metazoa; Chordata; Aves; Apterygiformes; Apterygidae.
CCGAAAGCCUAGAUCUUGCUUGAUUAAUGUAGCCUUUGAGAUUCUCAGCUUCUUGGCAGUGUGUCCCUAAAGAUUCUCUUUCUUCUCCAAGAUACAGAGGAGUAAACAGGUAACUGAAGUAACACAUUCUCAAGAAGUCAAGCUCCAAGGGGCUGCUGGGUGUAAAUAUAUCCUGAAGAUUAGUAUUUAUAAUGUUGAGAUUUGGGCAGCAUCUCAUCAAGCCCUCUGUGGUCUUCCUGAAGACGGAGCUCUCCUUUGCUCUCGUGAACCGGAAGCCAGUCGUCCCAGGGCGUAUCCUUUCAACCAGAGCCUCAAUCAUGAGCGCGUAUGGGCCGUUCAGCGUUCUGUGGAAAAGUGGGAGAUACUCUGCGCGUUCUGAAGGCCAGUAA